This 1070-nucleotide long non-coding RNA is filed under the name Ursus americanus (American black bear). RNAcentral describes it as "lncRNA (ENSUAMG00000010984.1)". The record is from RNAcentral. Lineage: Eukaryota; Metazoa; Chordata; Mammalia; Carnivora; Ursidae.
GUCAUGUUUAUUACUUUCAGGUGACUUGAAAGAUGGUAAAAAUAAGACCGACAGGAAGGAUCAAUCCAAUGUCGGAAGUGAUUCAAAGAAAACAGAUGGCACAAAGAAGCGCUCUCACGGUUCGCCAGCCCCAAGCACUAGCUCUGCAAGUCGCCUUACCUUGCCAGGGGACUACGGAUAAAACGUCCAUCCGGAGGAUUCCUCAGAAGAGAACUGACCAGCUCUGAGUCAUCAAGGCUCCUCUGCGUCAUUUUAAACGCCCUGCUUAUGCAUCUAGCUCCUACGUACCUUCGGUCCCAAAGAAAACUGAUGAGCAUCCUGCGAGGUACAAGAUGCUGGAUCAGAGGAUCAAACUGAAAAAGAUUCAGAAUAUCUCACAUAACUGGAACAGAAAAUAGGUCAAGGGGAAGAGAGGGAGUGAAGGGGAGACCCGCUCCUCUGCCUCUCAGCACUCACCAGCCACAGUGGGAUACGCUUCAGAGACCCUUGGAGGCCUUGGGGGCUGGUGCUUUUGUGGUCAACUCCACCAAGGCAAAGUGAAGGCCUUAUGGGAUUUUCCCCUUUGUUGUCCUGUUAUGCACCCAUCCGUCCCCGGAUCUGGGAGUCAACGCAGACUCCAGUAGUAAGAGUGUAGUUUCCUGUGGCUUUUAUUUGUAUAGAUCUUUCAAAGUCUAAAUCGGACCCGAAUUUAUAUGAUGCUCCCUCUUUAGAAAACUCCUCCCACUGAGAGUUCUUUUAUCCCUAGAAGUUGACUUGCCCCAAUAAGAAUAUUGGUUUAAUAAUCAUUUAAGAAAUGCACCUCUUAAAACAUCUUUUCCAAUUUUAAAUACAAUAGGAAAAGAUGUUUUUAGAAGUCCAUUCCUUAAAUACAGUGAUUAUUACAAUAUUUAAAAAUCAGGUAAAUAGGUAACUUUCUAAGUAAAUGCACUAAAGUUAAAAGUUGUGUUUCUGGAUAUAACAAUCACAGAGGGGAAAGAAGACUGAUGAGCAGUUGAAUUAUGGAGAAUUCUGAACUGAGGCUUCACAAAGCAGAUACAAGUCAAAAAUAAAGACCCUAGCUUUGGUUUUCA